AACCGCCCGGUGCGGACCCGCAUGCCGGGUGGUGUGGGAGGGGCUCCGUCGACAAUGACGGACCCCUAUCCCGAU
This 75-nucleotide non-coding RNA is filed under the name Pseudacidovorax intermedius. The record is from RNAcentral. Lineage: Bacteria; Pseudomonadati; Pseudomonadota; Betaproteobacteria; Burkholderiales; Comamonadaceae.